GAUGGCGAGGGAGCGGGACGACUGCGGGGUGCCGGCGGCCCGCGCCCCGCCUCCUGUCCAGUCCGGGGCGGGUGUCUCCGCGGUCGCUGGGCCCCGCGCUCCGUGGCCUUGCUGGACAACUUGCUGCCUGUGAGUAAGCCGGCGCCCCGCCCUCCGCGGGCCCUCAGCGCCGGCCACCUGUGGCGCCCGCCCGGCCGCUCUGGGGCGCGCGGGCACCGGUCCCGCUCCCGCCCGCCCCCGUCCCGGGCGGGACCCUUCCACUUGUCCCUUGCUGCCGAGAACGCUCCUUUUCUUUGGACUACUUUUAAGGGCCGCGGGGGGAGGUGUCCUCCUGGGCUGGCAGGUUCCUGUUCUGUGGUGUGAGAAGCAUUAACUUUCCAUUCAGCAAACAUUUCUUGUGCGCCUCCUUGUUCGGCUUCUGCACUGGCAAAGAUGGACUAGCAACAGCUGCCACUCUGCAGCUCUCAGGCCAGAGCAGAUGUGCAUGUCACAGGACGUUGCCAAGCCCAGGGGAGCUUGUUGGUGAAGAAGCCCUGUACCGAUCACCAGAAUAGCGAGCUGUUGUCUGGGGCGGCCAGUGUCCCAGUCAGAUGGAUUUGAAGAUUACAGUAGGAUCGUGACAGCAGGAGGAUACCAAACUUCUUGGACCUUCUAGGCCAGGACAACCUGCUCCCUCUGGUACACCUGGAAUCUUUAACUGUCAGGUCAUUGUCAGAGGACUCCUUGACAUCUUCUGGGACUUCAGUGCCAAUGAAGACGACUUCUCUGUGGUGGUGGAGAUUGUAGUUCGACUGUCAGAAGAUUCAGGUUUGUGUUAGCAGACCUGGUCAGGAAGUGCUCUCGAUUCUUCUGGAACAAGAGCUACUUUUCCAUCACGAUAUUGAAAACAACGUGCGUCCAGCUCUGCUGGAGCUGUCUGCCCCGACAGUGCUCGUGAGCAGAGCGGAAGCCGCGAGCACAGCCUGACAAGGAGUGACUGCCGGCACCUGCGGGGCCUGUCACGGGGUUGGCAGUGUCUUCAUGGUCAGCACCCUUCCUGUGAACGAGGUGGCGGGCGACUCAGCCUCAGUCUGGAAGCUUGUGGAGCAGCCCCUAGCCUGCUCGGGAGGUUCUGAUUCAGCUUUUGUGCAAGUGACCUUCAGCACUGUGGCACCAGCAUGCAUCUGUUAAGAAGUGGCUUGGGGAACCGUCGGUUUGCAGGGUGAUCGAGAAGGAAAGGAGUAAGUUGGACUGGGCCGAUCCCCUCUGUGUGUAGGACUCUGCAGCCAUGUGGUGUGAACACUGCCACAGCACAGGUUCAUAAAGACACACCCACUGAGAACGGUGCCGUUUUGGAGGAAUGACUUCUUCCCAAGGAAACUGCACGUCAUGUGGACAGAGUGCUCUUCAGUGGACUGCUCAUUCUCUUGGGAAUUAGCCAAUCGGUCGGGGUGCUGCCAACACCAGCGCAUCAGCAUCGACAGCUUCUUUGGAUGAACCGUGUUCAGUUUCAUUCUGUCUUAUGGAUUGGCUUCUGGUUCCAAGAUAUAAUCCCUUAGCCUCUGCUAAGUCAGUUUGUGUCAAUGGCUGACCUAGUGUAGGCCAAGACCGUUGAUACUGACAUAGCCAGACACUGUGCCUACAAGCCUCCCAUGAUGGCCGUGAACCUGAGCAGGCGGACCUCGCACUGCCUGAAAGACACGUACAAACACUGGCUUCGUGCAGGUGGUGGUAUGUGAGGAAGGACCAGCCUGAGGAGCUUCCCAGCCUCUGAGCCUCGCUUCAGCUCCCGCACUGCUGGCCAAGGGCGCGCCCCGCUCCUUUCUGAACUUACACACUGCAGUAAACCCUCUGAUGUUAAAGGUGGCAUCUGGACUUCCGCUAGGAAAUGAGGCCAAGUUGCCUGAUAGCACACUUCAGAAGUAUUAGGGUACUUUAGAAAUGCCAGUAACCCUCAUCUUGAAGUUGCUGAAGAGACCAUCUCGGCUUUGCAGUCGACAGGACCACGGUCUUUCCUUUUCUGCCACCGUAGAGCCAAGUGACAGAGCAUCAUGGACACUCUGCACAGGAGGAGCAGAGUGAACCCUCUGCCACCCUUGUUUCAUGCCUGGCAUCUUCAGCCUGUGACCUGAAGGGGAACUGGUAGUGUUUUACCUGCUGAAGAAGAAGAGACGUCUGAAACGUGCAUGUUGUGCAGAUGACUGACUCUUUCCUGUCUGCGGCUCCCAAGGACUGAAUCUCGGAGGGGACUCAGGGCAGGUGGCUGGGCACCUGACCCAGGACAGUGCGUGGACAGGGCGCAGGCCUAGGUGGCUGGCGGGUGUCAGGCCUCGCAGCCACGUCGCCUGCUCACAGUUAGUUUGCCCUGCGCGGACUGUGUUCAGGUCUCCCCUCCCGGUUGCCUGUCAGAGGCUUUGGAAUCUUUAACAGACUGGCGUGUUUGUUUCCCUUUUGCUUUUCUACGAAAUACAGUUUAUGGUGUUAUAUUUUAUUUUUAACUGAAAUACUGUACAUAUGUAAAUAUCUUUUUCUUUAAUUUCGAAAUAAGAUCUCACUAAGUUGCUCAGGCUGGCCUUAAAGUUGGAAUCCAUCUGCCUCAGCCUCAGAAGUAACCAGGACUACAGGCAUGCACUACCAUGCCCAGCUCGUACAGAACUCUCAACCAGAAAAAAAUACACGAACGUAAUAUCAGCUUCCUAUCAGUGAACUGAACAGAUAUAUCAUUGAAAUUUAUGCUGCACUCUGAGUUGCUGCAAACGCAGCCCAGCUGGUUUACUUUUGAAAAAUGUGACAAAGCCACUAAGAGUGAUUUAUGGGACUUUCUAAUAUUGUGCUUGCUUGAGAAGCUGUGCUGGGAACUUCUCAGGCACUCACCCUUCUGUUCCUUGCCAGAACUCUACCCCCACAGAUGGCGUUGGUGUAAAGCUGGAGGACUUUUCAUUGUUGUACAGAUAUGUUGUCUGUGUUUAAGAACUCGGGAGGGAAGUUGAUAAUGCAUGGGUAUCAACUUUAUAUCUAAUGCUUUAGAAUCUUAAAAGAUAGGAAACCGUAGUUCUGAUCAGAACGUGCCCACAAAUACCAGUGAUCCUGGGGGUUAAAUUAUGUACUCUUCAAAUUGAUGUAAGUACACAUGCUUUUAAAAUUUAGACUCAGACGCUUUAACAUUUAAAGUUUUUUCGUUAAUAAUUCAAGGUUCUGUAAACAUUUGAUUAAACUGCAUGCAUGUGUGUCAUUUUUCUUGUUUCUCUGUUGAUCUUCUCCACUGUUGGCCCAGGGGAGGAAGGAGCAGCCCCCUGGGAUCUAGGAGCCAGUGGCCAAGGGCCGGGAGCUAUUUCAGCUACUUUUUGUUUCCCCUCUCAUCUUUUUCUUGUAUAUUUUUUCCUUCUUUUUUUAAAUAAAAUUUUUGACCCUACAUAUUGAAUUUCCUGGUAUAAAGGAUAUCCCCUCCCCAAUCCCCAAAUCCCAUUGAACUGAUUCUCUGAGAAGAACCGAAGGAAUCCAUACCUACUAUGCCAAAGAAAAUAAGGUACAUGGGUGAAAAUCUUAGUUUGUAGUCCAG
Sciurus carolinensis (gray squirrel) is the source of this 3538-nucleotide long non-coding RNA. RefSeq lists it as uncharacterized. The record is from RefSeq and is a predicted model, not a curated record. The transcript is spliced from 9 exons. NCBI's taxonomy places the organism in Eukaryota, Metazoa, Chordata, Mammalia, Rodentia, Sciuridae.